AGAGUUUGAUCCUGGCUCAGGACGAACGCUGGCGGCGUGCUUAACACAUGCAAGUCGAACGGAAAGGCCCUUCGGGGUACUCGAGUGGCGAACGGGUGAGUAACACGUGGGUGAUCUGCCCUGCACUCUGGGAUAAGCCUGGGAAACUGGGUCUAAUACCGGAUAGGACCGCAUGCUUCAUGGUGUGUGGUGCAAAGCUUUUGCGGUGUGGGAUGAGCCCGCGGCCUAUCAGCUUGUUGGUGGGGUAAUGGCCUACCAAGGCGACGACGGGUAGCCGGCCUGAGAGGGUGACCGGCCACACUGGGACUGAGAUACGGCCCAGACUCCUACGGGAGGCAGCAGUGGGGAAUAUUGCACAAUGGGCGCAAGCCUGAUGCAGCGACGCCGCGUGAGGGAUGACAGCCUUCGGGUUGUAAACCUCUUUCAAUAGGGACGAAGCGCAAGUGACGGUACCUAUAGAAGAAGCACCGGCCAACUACGUGCCAGCAGCCGCGGUAAUACGUAGGGUGCGAGCGUUGUCCGGAAUUACUGGGCGUAAAGAGCUCGUAGGUGGUUUGUCGCGUUGUUCGUGAAAACUCACAGCUUAACUGUGGGCGUGCGGGCGAUACGGGCAGACUAGAGUACUGCAGGGGAGACUGGAAUUCCUGGUGUAGCGGUGGAAUGCGCAGAUAUCAGGAGGAACACCGGUGGCGAAGGCGGGUCUCUGGGCAGUAACUGACGCUGAGGAGCGAAAGCGUGGGGAGCGAACAGGAUUAGAUACCCCGGUAGUCCAA
RNAcentral lists this ribosomal RNA (773 nucleotides) under uncultured bacterium. RNAcentral describes it as "bacterial SSU rRNA". It matches the Rfam family "Bacterial small subunit ribosomal RNA", at positions 8 to 798 of the family's 1533-position model. The record is from RNAcentral.